CCGAAACCCGGUGAUCUAGCCAUGGGCAGGUUGAAGGUUGGGUAACACUAACUGGAGGACCGAACCGACUAAUGUUGAAAAAUUAGCGGAUGACUUGUGGCUGGGGGUGAAAGGCCAAUCAAACCGGGAGAUAGCUGGUUCUCCCCGAAAGCUAUUUAGGUAGCGCCUCGUGAAUUCAUCUCCGGGGGUAGAGCACUGUUUCGGCAAGGGGGUCAUCCCGACUUACCAACCCGAUGCAAACUGCGAAUACCGGAGAAUGUUAUCACGGGAGACACACGGCGGGUGCUAACGUCCGUCGUGAAGAGGGAAACAACCCAGACCGCCAGCUAAGGUCCCAAAGUCAUGGUUAAGUGGGAAACGAUGUGGGAAGGCCCAGACAGCCAGGAUGUUGGCUUAGAAGCAGCCAUCAUUUAAAGAAAGCGUAAUAGCUCACUGGUCGAGUCGGCCUGCGCGGAAGAUGUAACGGGGCUAAACCAUGCACCGAAGCUGCGGCAGCGACACUAUGUGUUGUUGGGUAGGGGAGCGUUCUGUAAGCCUGUGAAGGUGGCCUGUGAGGG
RNAcentral lists this ribosomal RNA (557 nucleotides) under Escherichia coli. RNAcentral describes it as "partial 23S ribosomal RNA". It matches the Rfam family "Bacterial large subunit ribosomal RNA", at positions 715 to 1269 of the family's 2925-position model. The record is from RNAcentral. Lineage: Bacteria; Pseudomonadati; Pseudomonadota; Gammaproteobacteria; Enterobacterales; Enterobacteriaceae.